UCCCUGGUGGUCCAGUAGUUAGGGCUCUGUGCUUUCACUGCAGGGGGCACAGGUUCAAUCCCUGGUUGGGGAA
Molecule: non-coding RNA, 73 nt
Organism: Bos taurus (domestic cattle)
Lineage: Eukaryota; Metazoa; Chordata; Mammalia; Artiodactyla; Bovidae
Source: Rfam